This is a long non-coding RNA of Pistacia vera, 743 nucleotides long. RefSeq lists it as uncharacterized. The record is from RefSeq and is a predicted model, not a curated record. The transcript is spliced from 4 exons. NCBI's taxonomy places the organism in Eukaryota, Viridiplantae, Streptophyta, Magnoliopsida, Sapindales, Anacardiaceae.
CUCUGACUCUCUGAAGGAGUUUAUGAACUAAGCUACUACCAUCAUUUGGAGAAAGAUCGUGGGAACGGGAAACCAUCGACGACGACUAGUGAAACGGAAACGGAUGACAGUGGCAGAGUGAGUUUCACUGAACAGCAAUAAAUCCUAAACAAAGACGAUAUACGACGUCUGAGUGAGAGAAUCAUGGGGUAACGACGACGGUGGAGGACGAAUGAACUAAUGCUAGCAUUAUUAAUGAUGGAGGACGACUAGUAACGACAUAUAUCGUUGGCGACAACCAAACAACGGAAAUCGAGGGGUUAACAGAGUAGCAGCUCGAUUUGUAGCAUCUUCAAAGCCUUUUUCAACUCAGAUGUCAAACUUGUCCCAAGCUUCAAGUUCAAGGGGUCAACCAACUCAGUAAUGCAAUUGGGAAGUUCUUUUGUUUGCUGCAACAGUAGGUUGUUUUUGUUUGCCACCUGAACCUCCAGGACAACAACGAAGAAGAAUAGGAUGGAGAAGAGGACAAUUUUGUGCCUGUUUUUGACUUUUGCAGCUAUGGAUGUGCAUAUGGAAACUACUCAGUUUUUAAAAUGUGAUUUAAAGUUUGAAGUUUCAGUUGUAUAUCUUUCCUAUAAACACAGUUCGCUGUACUGAAUUCAUGGUUUCUGUUUAAAGCAUGAAGAAUUAAUUGAUACUGAAUUUCAUUACAAAUUAUGUUCUUUUGUAUGAAUGAUUUGGGUACCGAUCAUGAAAAAAUUCAA